This 352-nucleotide unclassified non-coding RNA is filed under the name soil metagenome. Its description in RNAcentral is "partial contains 5.8S ribosomal RNA, internal transcribed spacer 2, and large subunit ribosomal RNA". The stretch from base 1 to 120 matches the Rfam family "5.8S ribosomal RNA", at positions 35 to 154 of the family's 154-position model. The record is from RNAcentral.
GAUGAAGAACGUAGCGAAAUGCGAUAAGUAAUGUGAAUUGCAGAAUUCAGUGAAUCAUCGAAUCUUUGAACGCACAUUGCGCCCGCCAGUAUUCUGGCGGGCAUGCCUGUUCGAGCGUCAUUUCAACCCUCAGGCCCCCAGUGCCUGGUGUUGGGGAUCGGCCCAGCCUUCCUGUAAGGCCGCCGGCCCCGAAAUCUAGUGGCGGUCUCGCUGUAGUCCUCCUCUGCGUAGUAGCACAACCUCGCAGUUGGAACGCGGCGGUGGCCAUGCCGUUAAACACCCCACUUCUGAAAGUUGACCUCGGAUCAGGUAGGACUACCCGCUGAACUUAAGCAUAUCAAUAAGCGGAGGA